CCUACGGGAGGCAGCAGUGAGGAAUAUUGGUCAAUGGACGAGAGUCUGAACCAGCCAAGUAGCGUGAAGGAUGACUGCCCUAUGGGUUGUAAACUUCUUUUAUAUGGGAAUAAAAUGAUUCACGUGUGGCUUAUUGUAUGUACCAUAUGAAUAAGGACCGGCUAAUUCCGUGCCAGCAGCCGCGGUAAUACGGAGGGUCCGAGCGUUAUCCGGAUUUAUUGGGUUUAAAGGGAGAGUAGGUGGGUUGUUAAGUCAGUUGUGAAAGUUCGCGGCUCAACCGUGGAAUUGCAGUUGAAACUGGCAGUCUUGAGUGCAGUAGAGGUAGGCGGAAUUCGUGGUGUAGCGGUGAAAUGCUUAGAUAUCACGAAGAACUCCGAUUGCGAAGGCAGCUCACUGGACUGCAACUGACGCUGAGGCUCGAAAGUGUGGGUAUCAAACAGGAUUAGAUACCCGGGUAGUC
RNAcentral lists this ribosomal RNA (460 nucleotides) under uncultured bacterium. Its description in RNAcentral is "partial 16S ribosomal RNA". It matches the Rfam family "Bacterial small subunit ribosomal RNA", at positions 338 to 795 of the family's 1533-position model. The record is from RNAcentral.